This 776-nucleotide ribosomal RNA is filed under the name uncultured Neocallimastigales. Its description in RNAcentral is "partial large subunit ribosomal RNA". It matches the Rfam family "Eukaryotic large subunit ribosomal RNA", at positions 24 to 643 of the family's 3401-position model. The record is from RNAcentral. Lineage: Eukaryota; Fungi; Neocallimastigomycota; Neocallimastigomycetes; Neocallimastigales.
AUCUCUGUAGAGUCUGCAUAUCAAUAAGCGGAGGAAAAGAAACUAACUAGGAUUCCCUUAGUAACGGCGAGUGAAGCGGGAAGAGCUCAAAUUCGAAAUCUUCAAGGUUCUACCUUGACGAAUUGUAGUUUAAAGAAGUGUUUUCUGUUAGGUGAUUAGGCUAAAAGUUCCUUGGAAUAGGGACAUCAUAGAGGGUGAGAAUCCCGUAUUUGGUUAUUCAUUCUAGCUUUGUGAUACACUUUCAAAGAGUCGGAUUGUUUGGGAAUGCAGUCCAAAAUGGGUGGUAAAUUUCAUCUAAAGCUAAAUAUUGGCGAGAGACCGAUAGCGAACAAGUACCGUGAGGGAAAGAUGAAAAGAACUUUGAAAAGAGAGUUAAACAGUACGUGAAAUUGUCAAAAGGGAAGCGUUUGACACCAGUGUUGUUUUUCCGAAAAUCAAUUACGAAUGGCUUGAUUCUGUGUUGUAUUGACCUUAUCAGCUUUCUUCACUUUUUUCGAGUCUUUCUUAAUGCACUUUUCGGUUAACAAGUCAACAUCAAUUUCUUUUGUUGUAAAAGAGUAUUCGGAAGGUGGCUUUCUUUUCGGAGAAAGUGUUUAUAGCCCUAUACUUCUACAAUCGGAGAGAUUGAGGUCUGCAGCGUAGAUCCUUCGGGGUUAGAUACACUUGUGCUAAGUUGUAGCUUUUCAUAGACAACUUGUUGACUAUGUUUAGUCAUGCGGCUUACUCGCUUGUGCUAUUUUACCUACGCUUAGGAUGUUGAAGAUGUAGCACAUCAU